Non-coding RNA from Brachypodium distachyon (stiff brome), 125 nucleotides. NCBI's taxonomy places the organism in Eukaryota, Viridiplantae, Streptophyta, Magnoliopsida, Poales, Poaceae. The record is from Rfam.
UUUGUACUCCCUCCGAUCCAUAUUAAUUGUCUCAAAUUUGCCUAAAUAUGGAUGAAUAUAUGCCUAAAAAUCGUCUGGAUACAUGUAAUACUUCGACAAUUAAUAUGGAUCGGAGGGAGUAACUU